AGAGCGAACGCUGGCGGCAGGCCUAACACAUGCAAGUCGAGCGGCCGUAGCAAUACGGCAGCGGCAGACGGGAUAGUAACACGUGGGAACGCGCCCUUCGGUUCGGAAUAACUCAGGGAAACUUGAGCUAAUACCGGAUACGCCCUUACGGGGAAAGAUUUAUUGCCGAAGGAACGGCCCGCGUCCGAUUAGCUAGUUGGUGAGGUAAUGGCUCACCAAGGCUCCGAUCGGUAGCUGGUCUGAGAGGAUGACCAGCAUCACUGGGACUGAGACACGGCCCAGACUCCUACGGGAGGCAGCAGUGGGAAUAUUGGACAAUGGGCGCAAGCCUGAUCCAGCCAUGCCGCGUGGAUGAUGAAGGCCUUAGGGUUGUAAAGUCCUUUUAACGGGGAAGAUAAUGACGGUACCGUAGAAUAAGCCCGGCUAACUUCGCGCCAGCAGCCGC
RNAcentral lists this ribosomal RNA (445 nucleotides) under uncultured bacterium. Its description in RNAcentral is "SSU rRNA". It matches the Rfam family "Bacterial small subunit ribosomal RNA", at positions 26 to 518 of the family's 1533-position model. The record is from RNAcentral.